CUUUUAUUCUAGGGCUGCAUCCGUGGCAUAUGGAGGUUCCCAGGCUAGGGGUUGAAUCAGAGCUGUAGCCACCGGCCUACGCCACAGCCACAACAACGUGGGAUCUGAGCCACAUCUGUGACCUACACCACAGCUCAUGGCAACGCCAGAUCCUCAACCCACUGAGCGAGGCCAGGGAUCAAACCCUCAACCUCAUGGUUCCCAGUUGGAUUCAUUAACCACUGAGCCAUGACGGGAACUCCAAAACUAAGUAUCUUGAAAGGUUUCCUUUGAGAGGUAGCAAGUCAUUGUAAGGACAUUUCAGAGAGUAAGAAUGAAGAAUAGAACCAGAGGACACGACUGCUGCAAAAUGUUCAUGUGCUCUAAUUUCCCUUCACCUAUACUGUGUAUUUCAAGGCCUUCCAGCUUCUCUGCCUCCACCUUGUUCUAAACCACUGCCCUGCUUUAGUCAUCUUAUGUGGGUUGAAAUAUAAUUCAUAAUUUAUCCUUCCCCCAACCCUUUCCCCUUUGGUAACCAGAAGCUUGUUUUCUCUGUCUGUGAGACUAUUUCUGUUUUGUAAAUAAGUUCAAAAUAGCAUUGUAAUUCAACUGUAUUUCAAUGACAAUUAAAAAAAUAAAAAAUAAAAUAGCUUCCUAACUGGUCUCUCUGCUUCUACUCUUAAUUCACUUCCAUCCAUUCUUCACAGAAAGCUGGAAUGAUUUUUUUUAAAUGAAAAUAUGUUCACAUCACCCCUUUGCCCUCAUUACUCUUUUCACUGGUUUUCCAUUGUGCCUGCAGGAAAGACCAAAAGGCUGAACAUAUUACAGACCUCUGGCCUGGUAGAGGUCUGGCCUACUUUUCUAGUCUGACUUGAACUAUCACUUCCUGGCCCCUCUGGGUUCCUGUCACACUAGCCUUCUCUAAACUCCUGAAUGUAUCAAUCUCUUCCCAACUCAGAUUGACAGUCCCCCUCCUGAUAAGUUAAGUCUAACACCCAACUCUUCCCUUUGCUAAUUUUUUUUUCCUUUAUAGAGCUAUAUCUACAGUAUAUGGAAGUUCCCAGGCCAGGGGUUGAAUUGGAGCUGCAGCUUUCAACCUAUACCACAGCUCAUGGCAACGCUGGAUCCCUAACCCACUGAGACCAAGGAUCAAACCCACAUCCUCAUGGAUACUAGUUGGGUUUGUAAUCGCUGAGCCACGAUGGGAACUCACACUCUUUGCUAAAUUUUACUCAUAUUUCAAGUUUCAACAUCAAUAUUAUCUCCCCAGAAAGGCCUUCCUUAAUUGCCCAGAACAGUUUAGUUUCCCUUACUGCUUCCUUUCAUAGUCUAUUCUUUUCUGUCAUAUAUUUUCAUUCAUUCAUACCUUUACCCAUGCAUUCAUUCAACAAUUAUCAUUGAGCACCUACUAUGCUCCAGGCACUGUUUUAGGUGCCAGAGAGGCAUGGUCCAUGUGCUCAUGGAGCCUACCUUAAUUUAUAAUUGUACAUUUAUUUGUGUAUUUAUUAAAAUAUUUGUUCAUUGACUUAUUAAAGUUUAGUUGAUUUAUAAUGUUUUGCCAAUUUCUGCUGUAUGACCCAGUCAUACAUACAUAUACAUUCCCUUUCUUAUAUUAUCAUCCAUCACAGCCUAUCCCAUUUUGACAACGCUAGUCCUAGAAGCCUGUCUCCAGUAAGUUAGUGCUUUUCCUCAUUUUUAGGAACAUAGGAAAUUGUAGGUAUGGCAAAGACCACUAGUGUCGUCUUCCUCCUGGGCCACAGCUAUAGGGCAUUUCCCAGAUUUCCUUGCAGUUAAGUCAGGUGAUUAAGUUUUAGCCAAUGGGAUGUGAAACAACAUGAAUGCCUGCUCUAUAAGGACUACUGUGCUCACCUAUGCUUUUUCCCCCCUCCUGUUGGCCGGAAAACAGAGAACUCUGUAGUUUAAGAGGAUGGCAGUGUCAUUAGAUGAAAUGGGCCUGGUUCCUUGAAUCACUACAUGGAGGAAAGUCACCUGCUGACCCAGAACGCCUACCAAAAACUGUACUUGAAGGAGAAAUUUGGGGCUAUAUUUGUGAUAAUGGAAAGUAUUACUACCUAAUUUGUUAGACAUCUGACUUUUCUAAAAAUAUUAGGAUUUAGGGAUAUUAGCCAAAGUUGCCACUGUGCAUUUCCCAUUUUGUAUCCUGAAUGUAUUUCCUAGAGAAGGCCAUUGGACAGUUCCUCCUCUAUUUAGUCAAAUGCAGAGCAGAGAUUUUCCUUAAUUCCUCUCAGAAUUCUGUGACCUUCUUUUCUUUUUUCUUUUCUUUUAUUUAUUUAUUUAUUUAUUUAUUGCUUUUUAGGGCUGCACUUGUGGCAUAUGGAAGUUCCCAGGCAAGGGUUCAGAUUGGAGCUAUAGCUGCUGGCCUACACCAAGAUCACAGCAAUGCAGGAUCCAAGCCACGUCUGCAAACUACAUCACAGCUCAUGACAACACCGGAUCCCUGACCCACUGAGUGAGGCCAGGGAUCAAA
Molecule: long non-coding RNA, 2467 nt
Filed under: Sus scrofa (pig)
Lineage: Eukaryota; Metazoa; Chordata; Mammalia; Artiodactyla; Suidae
Description: lncRNA (ENSSSCG00025044617.1)
Source: RNAcentral